AUACGGAGGAUCCGAGCGUUAUCCGGAUUUAUUGGGUUUAAAGGGUGCGUAGGCGGACUAGUAAGUCAGUGGUGAAAUCCUGCAGCUUAACUGUAGAAUUGCCGUUGAUACUGUUAGUCUUGAGUACAUUUGAGGUAGGCGGAAUGUGGUGUGUAGCGGUGAAAUGCAUAGAUAUACCACAGAACACCGAUUGCGAAGGCAGCUUACUAAACUGUAACUGACGCUGAGGCACGAAAGCGUGGGUAUCAAACAGGAUUAGAUACCCUGGUAGUCCACGCUGUAAACGAUGAUUACUGGUUGUUUGCGAUACACCGCAAGUGACUGAGCGAAAGCAUUAAGUAAUCCACCUGGGGAGUACGUCGGCAACGAUGAAACUCAAAUGAAUUGGCGGGG
This 393-nucleotide ribosomal RNA is filed under the name uncultured bacterium. RNAcentral describes it as "partial 16S ribosomal RNA". It matches the Rfam family "Bacterial small subunit ribosomal RNA", at positions 523 to 918 of the family's 1533-position model. The record is from RNAcentral.